Molecule: ribosomal RNA, 301 nt
Filed under: uncultured bacterium
Lineage: Bacteria
Description: partial 16S ribosomal RNA
Rfam family: Bacterial small subunit ribosomal RNA
Source: RNAcentral
CAGUCGCCGCGGUAAUACGAAGGGUGCAAGCGUUACUCGGAAUUACUGGGCGUAAAGCGUGCGUAGGCGGCUUCUUAAGUCGGAUGUGAAAUCCCUGAGCUUAACUUAGGAAUUGCAUUCGAUACUGGGAAGCUAGAGUAUGGGAGAGGAUGGUAGAAUUCCAGGUGUAGCGGUGAAAUGCGUAGAGAUCUGGAGGAAUACCGAUGGCGAAGGCAGCCAUCUGGCCUAAUACUGACGCUGAGGUACGAAAGCAUGGGGAGCAAACAGGAUUAGAGACCCCCGUAGUCCCUGUCUCUUAUAC